GGAAGGAUCAUUACCGAAUUGUCAACAAGAGUUGUUGCUGGUCCCUGUAUGGGGGCAUGUGCACGCUCUGUUUACACAUCCACUCACACCUGUGCACGCUCUGUAGUUCUAUGGCCUGGGUGGGCUCUGCCCUCCUGCUGUGGUUCUAUGUCUUUACACACACACUACAACAAAGUCUCAUGGAAUGUAUGUCGCGUUUAACGCAAUGAAAUACAACUUUCAGCAACGGAUCUCUUGGCUCUCGCAUCGAUGAAGAACGCAGCGAAAUGCGAUAAGUAAUGUGAAUUGCAGAAUUCAGUGAAUCAUUGAAUCUUUGAACGCACCUUGCGCCCUUUGGCUAUUCCGAAGGGCAUGCCUGUUUGAGUAUCAUGAACACCUCAACUCUCAUGGCUUGCCGUGAUGUGCUUGGACUUUGGGGGUCUUGUUGGCCUGUGAGCCAGCUCCUCUUAAAUGAAUUAGCUCGCCGGUGUUUGGUGGCGUCACAGGUGUGAUAACUAUCUACGCUUGUGGUUCCCCACCAGGGUAACCUUCAGCAAUGAAGGUUCACCGGAGCUUAUAAAUGUCUCUCCUCAGCGAGGACAGAUUUUGACCAUUUGAUCUCAAAUCAGGUAGGACUACCCGCUGAACUUAAGCAUAUCAA
RNAcentral lists this small RNA (640 nucleotides) under uncultured fungus. Its description in RNAcentral is "eukaryotic LSU rRNA". The stretch from base 215 to 369 matches the Rfam family "5.8S ribosomal RNA". The record is from RNAcentral. Lineage: Eukaryota; Fungi.